Molecule: ribosomal RNA, 375 nt
Filed under: uncultured organism
Description: partial 16S ribosomal RNA
Rfam family: Bacterial small subunit ribosomal RNA
Source: RNAcentral
GUAGGUGGCAAGCGUUGUCCGGGAAUUAUUGGGGCGUAAAGCGCGCGCAGGCGGUUCUUUAAGUCUGAUGUGAAAGCCCACGGGCUCAACCGUGGAGGGUCAUUGGAAACUGGAGAACUUGAGUACAGAAGAGGAAAGCGGAAUUCCACGUGUAGCGGUGAAAUGCGUAGAGAUGUGGAGGAACACCAGUGGCGAAGGCGGCUUUCUGGUCUGUAACUGACGCUGAGGCGCGAAAGCGUGGGGAGCAAACAGGAUUAGAUACCCUGGUAGUCCACGCCGUAAACGAUGAGUGCUGAGUGUUAGGGGGUUUCCGCCCCUUAGUGCUGCAGCUAACGCAUUAAGCACUCCGCCUGGGGAGUACGGCCGCAAAGGCUG